UACGUAGGGUGCAAGCGUUAAUCGGGAUUACUGGGCGUAAAGCGUGCGCAGGCGGUUAUGUAAGACAGGUGUGAAAUCCCCGGGCUUAACCUGGGAACUGCAUUUGUGACUGCAUAGCUAGAGUACGGUAGAGGAGUGUGGAAUUCCCGGUGUAGCGGUGAAAUGCGCAGAUAUCGGGAGGAACACCCGUAGCGAAGGCGGCACUCUGGGCCGGAACUGACGCUGAGGAGCGAAAGCGUGGGGAGCAAACAGG
RNAcentral lists this ribosomal RNA (253 nucleotides) under uncultured bacterium. Its description in RNAcentral is "partial 16S ribosomal RNA". It matches the Rfam family "Bacterial small subunit ribosomal RNA", at positions 524 to 776 of the family's 1533-position model. The record is from RNAcentral.